This 440-nucleotide ribosomal RNA is filed under the name uncultured bacterium. RNAcentral's name for it is "partial 16S ribosomal RNA". It matches the Rfam family "Bacterial small subunit ribosomal RNA", at positions 338 to 795 of the family's 1533-position model. The record is from RNAcentral.
CCUACGGGGUGCAGCAGUAGGGAAUAUUGCUCAAUGGGGGAAACCCUGAAGCAGCAACGCCGCGUGGAGGAUGAAGGUUUUCGGAUUGGAAAAUUGUUUUGUUAGAGAAGAUAAUGACGGUACGUAACGAAUAAUCACCGGCUAACAUCGAUCCAGAAGCGCCGGUAAUACGGAGGGUGCAGGCGUAAUUCGGAAUAACUGGGCGUAAAGAGCGCGUAGGCGGGAUAGCAAGUCAGAUGUGAAAUCCUAUGGCUUAACCAUGGAACUGCAUUUGAAACUGUUAUUCUAGAGUAUGGGAGAGGUAGGUGGAAUUCUUGGUGUAGGGGUAAAAUCCGUAGAGAUCAAGAAGAAUACUCAUUGCGAAGGCGACCUGCUAGAGCAUAACUGACGCUGAUGCGCGAAAGCGUGGGGAGCAAACAGGAUUAGAUACCCGGGUAGUC